RNAcentral lists this ribosomal RNA (253 nucleotides) under uncultured bacterium. RNAcentral describes it as "partial 16S ribosomal RNA". It matches the Rfam family "Bacterial small subunit ribosomal RNA", at positions 524 to 776 of the family's 1533-position model. The record is from RNAcentral.
UACAGAGGGUGCAAGCGUUGUUCGGAAUUACUGGGCGUAAAGGGCGUGUAGGCGGUUUAGCAAGUCAGAUGUGAAAUCCCGGGGCUUAACUCCGGAAGUGCAUUUGAAACUGCUAGGCUAGAGUGCUGUAGAGGAUGGCGGAAUACCCAGUGGAGAGGUGAAAUUCGUAGAUAUUGGGUGGAACACCGGUGGCGAAGGCGGCCAUCUGGGCAGCAACUGACGCUGAGGCGCGAGAGCGUGGGGAGCAAACAGG